AGUGAACGCUGGCGGUAGGCCUAACACAUGCAAGUCGAACGGCAGCACAGUAAGAGCUUGCUCUUACGGGUGGCGAGUGGCGGACGGGUGAGGAAUACAUCGGAAUCUACUUUUUCGUGGGGGAUAACGUAGGGAAACUUACGCUAAUACCGCAUACGACCUACGGGUGAAAGCAGGGGAUCUUCGGACCUUGCGCGAUUGAAUGAGCCGAUGUCGGAUUAGCUAGUUGGGGGGGUAAAGGCCCACCAAGGCGACGAUCCGUAGCUGGUGUGAGAGGAUGAUCAGCCACACUGGAACUGAGACACGGUCCAGACUCCUACGGGAGGCAGCAGUGGGGAAUAUUGGACAAUGGGCGCAAGCCUGAUCCAGCCAUACCGCGUGGGUGAAGAAGGCCUUCGGGUUGUAAAGCCCUUUUGUUGGGAAAGAAAAGCAGCAGGUUAAUACCCCGCUGUUCUGACGGUACCCAAAGAAUAAGCACCGGCUAACUUCGUG
RNAcentral lists this ribosomal RNA (492 nucleotides) under uncultured bacterium. Its description in RNAcentral is "partial 16S ribosomal RNA". It matches the Rfam family "Bacterial small subunit ribosomal RNA", at positions 29 to 507 of the family's 1533-position model. The record is from RNAcentral.